Molecule: long non-coding RNA, 308 nt
Filed under: Homo sapiens (human)
Lineage: Eukaryota; Metazoa; Chordata; Mammalia; Primates; Hominidae
Description: HSALNT0112986
Source: RNAcentral
AGGUCACCAUAGAAACAUAAGCAACAGAGAUCGAAGGAACAAUAGAUUGGGAGAAAAGUAACAAGGAAAGUUAAGGGACAAAGGAGGAUAUAGUCUUCAAGGUAGAUUAAGAACAGAAAGGUUUCUAAAUGCCAGACUUUUCCUUGAGGCAUUAUACUGAUCCAUUGAAGACUAAGCAGGUAUCUCAUCAUCCUCAGAAAGCAAAUUCAGCAAGUAAGUAGAUGCUAGUGAUGCAUCUGUAACAACAAAGAGAGAUGUGGUAGAGGGGGAAGGAGCACUGAAUUCAUGAAAACAAGUUCCUUGGAGGA